GGGGGCGAUCGGUAUCGACGGGGCAAGAGAUAUGUUGGACCGCACGCGGAGGAUGAUAGUUACCUCCUUAAUCACCUGUCACAUCAUUAGUUGCCGAUUACGGCUACAUGGCCGCUGCUUAAUUAGCGGUCCGUUCCGGAUUCGAUGAGUCUAUGGUUUAAUCUAGGAGCGUCACUUACAUAGGCUGGCUCCGAAUAUGCCUGCAGGUUCGGAGUAAGAUCUAAGUAGGCUGGUCCUUCCUAUUUUUUGUCGCUGAUAAAGGGUUGGAUAAGAUUUUAAUUGGAUGACUAAGCGUGUAGACGUCUUCCAUCACUCUGUUUCGGACGGGAGUUCGAUUCUCCCCGCCUCCAC
RNAcentral lists this transfer-messenger RNA (351 nucleotides) under marine eukaryotic metagenome. It matches the Rfam family "transfer-messenger RNA". Rfam says of the family: Bacterial tmRNA, also known as 10Sa RNA or SsrA, is named for its dual tRNA and mRNA-like properties. Its role is to liberate the mRNA from a stalled ribosome. The record is from RNAcentral.